RNAcentral lists this RNase P RNA (455 nucleotides) under Coriobacteriales bacterium. Its description in RNAcentral is "RNase P RNA component class A". It matches the Rfam family "Bacterial RNase P class A". Rfam says of the family: Ribonuclease P (RNase P) is a ubiquitous endoribonuclease, found in archaea, bacteria and eukarya as well as chloroplasts and mitochondria. Its best characterised activity is the generation of mature 5'-ends of tRNAs by cleaving the 5'-leader elements of precursor-tRNAs. Lineage: Bacteria; Bacillati; Actinomycetota; Coriobacteriia; Coriobacteriales. The record is from RNAcentral.
GGAGUGGGCUGGAUGGCCGCGCGGGCCUGUCCCGUGAGGAAAGUCCGGACUCCACAGGGCAGGAUGCCAGCUAACGGCUGGGCGGCGCGAGCCGACGGAAAGUGCCACAGAAAAGAAAACUCCCGGCCCUGGAGCAACACCUGCACUUGGCGAGCAGCCGGCCGCGCCAGCCGCAAGGCUGGCCACGGCCAUAGGCAAAGAACCGAUGGCCACAGGCCAAAGACCGAGUGUGUGUGUUGCUCCAGGGCCGAGAAAAGCUGAAACGGUGCGGUAAGAGCGCACCAGCGUGUUGGCAACAACACGGCUUGGCAAACCCCAUCCGGAGCAAAGGCGAAUAGGAGUGCCAUGCGCUGGCCCGGCGCGCACUCGGGUUGCCUGCUAGAGGCUGUUGGCGACAGCAGUCCCAGAUAAAUGGUCAUCCCCGACAGAAUCCGGCUUACAGGCCCACUCCACCC